GAUGAACGCUAGCUACAGGCUUAACACAUGCAAGUCGAGGGGAAACGACAGAGGAAGCUUGCUUCCUUUGGGCGUCGACCGGCGCACGGGUGAGUAACGCGUAUCCAACCUUCCCGCAAGUAAGGGAUAACCCGUAGAAAUGCGGCCUAAUACCUUAUGUUUUCCUUAGAGGGCAUCUGAUGAGGAACAAAGAUCCGUCGCUUGCGGAUGGGGAUGCGUCUGAUUAGUUAGUCGGCGGGGUAACGGCCCACCGAGACGACGAUCAGUAGGGGUUCUGAGAGGAAAGUCCCCCACAUUGGAACUGAGACACGGUCCAAACUCCUACGGGAGGCAGCAGUGAGGAAUAUUGGUCAAUGGGCGGAAGCCUGAACCAGCCAAGUAGCGUGCAGGACGACGGCCCUAUGGGUUGUAAACUGCUUUUGAUUGGGAACAAAGAGCGCCACGUGUGGUGCGUUGCGUGUACCUUUCGAAUAAGCAUCGGCUAAUUCCGUG
Molecule: ribosomal RNA, 492 nt
Filed under: uncultured bacterium
Lineage: Bacteria
Description: bacterial SSU rRNA
Rfam family: Bacterial small subunit ribosomal RNA
Source: RNAcentral